AGAACGAACGCUGGCGGCAGGCUUAACACAUGCAAGUCGAACGCCCCGCAAGGGGAGUGGCAGACGGGUGAGUAACGCGUGGGAAUCUACCCAGUUCUACGGAAUAACACAGGGAAACUUGUGCUAAUACCGUAUACGCCCUACGGGGGAAAGAUUUAUCGGGAUUGGAUGAGCCCGCGUUGGAUUAGCUAGUUGGUGGGGUAAUGGCCUACCAAGGCGACGAUCCAUAGCUGGUCUGAGAGGAUGAUCAGCCACACUGGGACUGAGACACGGCCCAGACUCCUACGGGAGGCAGCAGUGGGGAAUAUUGGACAAUGGGCGAAAGCCUGAUCCAGCCAUGCCGCGUGAGUGAUGAAGGCCUUAGGGUUGUAAAGCUCUUUCAGUGGGGAAGAUAAUGACGGUACCACAGAAGAAGCCCGGCUAACUUCGUGCCAGCAGCCGC
This 442-nucleotide ribosomal RNA is filed under the name uncultured bacterium. RNAcentral describes it as "SSU rRNA". It matches the Rfam family "Bacterial small subunit ribosomal RNA", at positions 26 to 518 of the family's 1533-position model. The record is from RNAcentral.